RNAcentral lists this ribosomal RNA (399 nucleotides) under uncultured bacterium. RNAcentral describes it as "bacterial SSU rRNA". It matches the Rfam family "Bacterial small subunit ribosomal RNA", at positions 64 to 507 of the family's 1533-position model. The record is from RNAcentral.
GAACGCUCGUAGCAAUACGGGAGUGGCAGACGGGUGAGUAACGCGUGGGAACAUACCCUCCGGUUCGGAAUAGCUCAGGGAAACUUGGAUUAAUACCGGAUACGGCUGAGAGGCGAAAGAUUUAUCGCCGGAGGAUUGGCCCGCGUUCGAUUAGCUAGUUGGUGAGGUAACGGCUCACCAAGGCGAUGAUCGAUAGCUGGUCUGAGAGGAUGAUCAGCCACAUUGGGACUGAGACACGGCCCAAACUCCUACGGGAGGCAGCAGUGGGGAAUAUUGGACAAUGGGCGCAAGCCUGAUCCAGCCAUGCCGCGUGAGUGAUGAAGGCCCUAGGGUUGUAAAGCUCUUUUGUGCGGGAAGAUAAUGACGGUACCGCAAGAAUAAGCCCCGGCUAACUUCGUG